AUUCGAGUUACAAAAUGGCCGCCAGGAGCGUGUUCAGCGCGGUUCCCCCAGCGGUCUCCGGCUGAACCCGCGCUCUCGCCUCCCUGCCGAACACAGCGUGAGGAGACCCCCCGGGGACAUGGUGUUUGAGUCUCUGGGCUUGCCGAGCACCAAGUCCUCUGAAGCCCGCAGCGCAGCACCGGAAGCGGCCGAGCGCGCUCAGCCCGGCGACCACCAGCCGCUCCAGACCCCUGAGCCGCUGCGCCCCGGGUUUCGCCGCACCCAAGACCCAGCGAGUGCAGCGGCGGACGCCGAGGAGACGGAGUCUCGCUCUGUCACAUAGGCUGGAGUGCAUUGGUGCGAUCUCAGCUCACUGCAACCUCCGCCUCCUGGGUUCAAGAGAUUCUCCUGCCUCAGCCUCCGGAGUAGCUGGGAUUACAGGUUCGAAAACAUGGCCAAAAGAAAUGCCGAGAAGGAACUGACAGAUAGGAAUUGGGAUCAAGAAGAUGAAGCUGAAGAGGGCAAAAGAAGGGUUAUAAACUAAAGCCGAAG
This 531-nucleotide small RNA is filed under the name Pongo abelii (Sumatran orangutan). RNAcentral's name for it is "processed transcript". Lineage: Eukaryota; Metazoa; Chordata; Mammalia; Primates; Hominidae. The record is from RNAcentral.